CCCUCGAUAGCUCAGUUGGCAGAGCGGAGGACUGUAGAUGUAACUCAACGGUGAUCCUUAGGUCGCUGGUUCAAAUCCGGCUCAAGGGA
This 89-nucleotide transfer RNA is filed under the name Cordylochernes scorpioides. Its description in RNAcentral is "tRNA-Tyr". It matches the Rfam family "tRNA". Rfam says of the family: Transfer RNA (tRNA) molecules are approximately 80 nucleotides in length. Their secondary structure includes four short double-helical elements and three loops (D, anti-codon, and T loops). Further hydrogen bonds mediate the characteristic L-shaped molecular structure. tRNAs have two regions of fundamental functional importance: the anti-codon, which is responsible for specific mRNA codon recognition, and the 3' end, to which the tRNAs corresponding amino acid is attached (by aminoacyl-tRNA synthetases). tRNAs cope with the degeneracy of the genetic code in two manners: having more than one tRNA (with a specific anti-codon) for a particular amino acid; and 'wobble' base-pairing, i.e. permitting non-standard base-pairing at the 3rd anti-codon position. Lineage: Eukaryota; Metazoa; Arthropoda; Arachnida; Pseudoscorpiones; Chernetidae. The record is from RNAcentral.